UUUGUGCACAUCAUCAAUGACG
This 22-nucleotide microRNA is filed under the name Callorhinchus milii (elephant shark). RNAcentral's name for it is "eshark_NOVEL_225". The record is from RNAcentral. Lineage: Eukaryota; Metazoa; Chordata; Chondrichthyes; Chimaeriformes; Callorhinchidae.